GAGAUCUCCGUUAUAAAUAGGUUUUUUUUUUUCUGAUUUGAAGACCAGGAAGUGUUCAAACGUUAAGCGGGAUGGAUAUUGCGGCUUCAUCUAAUCUCUUUGCAACAGCUUCUUCCCCGUUUAUCUCCGCAGCAAACAGGAAUUGAGUUUUUAUCCUCGCCAAAUCAUGCCCAGACAAUCAGAGCUUCGGUUCGAACGAUUCCAAUUUUCACUGGAGACAAACCAACGAAACCCAGGGCAUCAGCAAUCGAUGUCAAGGAGACA
Molecule: long non-coding RNA, 264 nt
Organism: Brassica oleracea var. oleracea
Lineage: Eukaryota; Viridiplantae; Streptophyta; Magnoliopsida; Brassicales; Brassicaceae
Exons: 4
Source: RefSeq, a predicted model, not a curated record